Molecule: long non-coding RNA, 5275 nt
Filed under: Sus scrofa (pig)
Lineage: Eukaryota; Metazoa; Chordata; Mammalia; Artiodactyla; Suidae
Description: lncRNA (ENSSSCG00015072255.1)
Source: RNAcentral
AAAAAGGUUUUGACAGCCAGUUUUGGUCCUAUAUACCAGAAAAGAUUUACCUACAUUGGCAACAGAAAAAUGUCUUUUCUGGAGCCAUAGCAGAAAAAUGUUGGGAAAUGGCCUAAAUUCAGGAUGACCUUUUUUUUUUAAAAAGAUCUUAUUAAUUUAUUAUAUCUGGUGAUUUGAAGACAGAAUGGUACUUUAAUAUCAUUAUAACCUAAACUUGCUACUGUAGAGGUUGAAAAACAUUCAAAGUAAGUAUCUUUAUACAUUUGUAGCAUGAUAAAAGAUUGAAGUUAAAAGACAUCACAGUGGGUUAAGGGUCCAGUGUUCCAUGAGCUGUGGCAUAGGUCUUAGACGUGGCUUGGAUCUAAUGUUGCUGUGGCUAUGGUGUGGGCUGGAAGCUGUAGCUCCAACUGCACCCCUAGCCUGGGAACUUCCAUAUGCCACAGUUACUGCCCUAAAAAGCAGAAUAAAUAAAUAAAUAAAUAAAUAAAUAAAAGCUCUAGGGAUAUAAAGUUCAUUAUGUAGGGUCCAGAGAUCAAAUGUAAUUUGUUCCAGUUACAUUUAAUUAGUCCCAAUAAGUCUCCAAGCUGGGUCUCCACAGAGAGAACCAUUGUAUUAUUCUUCAGAAACAUCUUUUUAACUAUAGACAUAUAGGUACAAUGUGUUUGGCUGUCAAUAUUAGAAUUAAACUAAAUUUGUCCAAUUAAAAUUUGGAGAAAAGCAAAGACUACAUAUUAAAGUCUCCCAGUGUUUUUCCUGUGACUUACUUUGGUUAUGGGUAGAGGCUAUGAAUCAAGACAAGGACGGCAUGAUUAUAUUAACAAUAGAAAUAAGUGUAUUAGGACAAUCUGAGAGGUGGAGGAGUAAAAGGAUAUAACUUCUGUGGAAGAUUUCCAAAAACUUGCAAAGUCUAAAAAAAGACUUAAGAUUUCGGAAAGAAGCAGAAAACUUUUUGUCAAAGGGAAAAGAUGAUUCUGUUAUGGGCAAGAACAAAAUGCACUCAUUGGAGAAUUUUAAAAGGGGCUGUCAUCCUGUCAGAAAUAGGAUGUGAAGAAAGGCUUUACAAUGACAAAUUUAGAAAUACUUAAAUAUCAUAUUUUGGCCAACCAACCACAUUUAUGUCUAAAUGUGUGGGAGGAUGUGCUCAUGAACACAAGCAAAUCAGAGAAGAUUAUGUAUAAUUGAUAAUAAUAACUGAGCAUGAAAUGUAGAGACAGGCUGAACUUGACAGAGUAUAUUCAGGGCCCUUAAGACAUUUAAUUCAAUAGGAAAUAACUUAGAAUUCACAUUUUAUAUCUUUAAAUAUAGCGAUUCAUUUAACUUUUAUUUUUGGAUUUGCUUUUUUUUUUUGGUUUUUAGGAAUGCACCCGUGGCAUAUGGAAAUUCCCAGGCUAGGGGUCUAAUCGGGGCUGUAGCUACCAGCCUACACCACAGCAAUGCGGGAUCUGAGCUGUGUCUGCGACCCACACCACAGCUCAUGGCAGCACUGGAUCCUUAACCCACUGAGUGAGGGCAGGGAUCAAACUUGCAUCCUCAUGGAUACUAGUCAGGUUCAUAACCCCCUCCGCCACAAUGGGAACUCCCUUUAUUUUCAUUUUUAAAUGAAUAUUUUAUAGAAGUAGUAGUUUUCGAUUGACUAAAUUGAUUGUAAUGGCUAUUUUGUCAUUAUUUUGGUAAAUAGUGAUUCUUUCUGGUCAUGGGAUAUCACUCAGUAAAAUAAGAUUCUAAUUACUAUACCACCCCUGAAUGUUGGGGGAAAAGUAGCCCAAAUUUUAGUAAUGUGUUAAGGACUUAUUUUAUUUGUGGUACAAGUUGAAGUAUGUAUUCCCUGUAUACCUAGAACUUCUGAAUCUCUUUAGAAAAGUCUGGGUCAGAUUUUAUAUAAUCCAGUAAUUAGUGUUUGUUUUUUGUGUGUAAAUAAAUACAUAUGUCUUUGCAUCUAUAACAGGGAUUUGAUUAUUCAUAUUGUAUUUCUGGAAGUAAAAAUCUCAUUGUACCUGAUCUAGCAGUCUUGAAUGUUCUACAAGCAUCCAUGAAACUCACUCAGGCUAACUGGUUAGCUCGAAAUAGGUAAAAGUCUCAGGUUCUUCACAGUUCUUGACACGAGUUUUCCAGUUCCAUUUCUUACUGCUCCCUGUAUUCCUGUCUACAUGACACUUAAGAUGCAUUACUCACCCUUCCCAAAUAUAACUUGCAGUUCUCUAUCUUAAUUUCUAGAUUGUGCUUCCGUAAGUUUCCCCUCUGGAACAUUUUAUCCACAUCCUUUUUGAAAUAUUUUUCUGCUUAAGUCACUCAUCAAACAAAACUUCUGUCUUUUUUAAUAUUUCAUUUAUAUUAGGUUAAUACAAUGUCUCCUUUAUGUUGCAUUAAGAUCAGCUUUGUAUAUUAUUCAAUAUGUGAUGCUUAUUGUGGAGAAUUUAUUCUUUUGUUCCAAGUAUGCAGCAAAGUUUUCAAUCAACAUCUCAAUCAACACAAUAUUUCAAGGGUUCAUUUAGGUUUUCUUUUAGAAGAUUCUUUAAGUAAUUAUUUAAAGGGAAACUAUGACCAAAACUAGGGUAGGAGUCCAUAGCUUUCAUUUCCUUCUUAGCAUAGGAAAUGUUUUAACAAUAGACUAAGACUGAAAGGGAAAUAAAUGCCAGCAAUCAAACCACAAUCCCAGAACAGCAGGUGGUUUGAAUACAUGGUUUGAAUGAACAGGCAUCCUACAUUGCUCUGACAUAGAUUUAAGAGUUGCCUCUGGGAAAAGAGGCAAGUCAAAACAAGAACGAAGAUACUCACCCAGGGAUGUAUGUGGAAGACAAAGACAUCAAUAGAGCCAACCCUUUUCAAACCAAUGACAAGCAUUGAGUGCUGGAUCUUUUGUUGAAUUACUAAUGAUUCUGCUGAUACUGACUCUUUAUUUAGAUCUUUGAUGGGUGCAUUAUAUAUUCUCUUAUAACAGACUUGUUAAGUGGACUUGAACAUUGAGAAGCUCUUGGCCUAGAGAUGCUAUUUUAAAUGUCCAGGCAAAGUUUGGGGUUAGGAGAUGCAAACUAUUACAUUUAGAAUGAAUAAGCAAUGAGGUCUUACUCUAUAGCACAGGGAGCUAUAUCCAGUCUCUUGGGAUAGAACAUAAUGGAAGAUAAUCUGAGAAAAACAAUGCAUAUGUAUGACUGGGUCAUUUUGCUGUACAGCAGAAAUUGGCAGAACAUUGCAAAUCAACUAACUUCAAUUUAAAAAAAUUAGAAAAACAAUAUUAAAAAUAAAUUGCCCAGACAUCUCAUGAAUCAACUCAAAAAUGAAUCCAUUAUCAACUUUAAAAUAGUAUAUAUAUUACAUCUUCAAAAAAGGAACAGAAAAUUUUAGAGAUUUCACCAUUUUGCUUAAAUUCUGUUAAUUUCAUUCUUUCUAUAAACAUUUAUUGAGCUUUCAGAGAGUGUGCCAUAUGUUUUCUAUUGCAACUAUAACAAACUACCACAGACUUAUUGACAUAAAAUAACACACAUUUAUCCGUCAUUGUUCUUAAAGUCAGAAGUCCACGUGAGCUCAGUUGGGUUCUCUGCUUAGAGUCUCAUAGUUGGGUUCUCUGCUUAGAGUCUCAAGAAUCAACCAGAUUGAGCUCUUACCUAUAGGUUAUGGGAAAAAAUCCACUUCCCAUAUUCCUUUAGUUUAUUGGCAGAUUGGCCGGAAUCCUUUCAUGCUUUGAAUUUCAAUGACUCUCUUUUACUAUAAACCACAGAAAAUGUAUGCUCCUGGGAUUCAAAUGGAACCAUAUGGAUAAUGUCUCGUUUGAGUUACCUGAGGUCAACAGGUUAUUGACCUUACAUCUGUAAAAAUUCCUUUUAUCAUACACCCAUCCUCUAGGGCUAUACAAGUGUUAUUGGGGGUCAUUUUUAAAACUGAGCCUACCACGUAUGCGAAGUGCUGAAAUUAAAUGAUGAGAAAACAGACUCCGUUUCUACUUCUACAAACUUUAAACUUGAACGAAGGGGACAUCCAGUAGAGGAUGAGCUGUGUAAGGAGCAUGGUGUACAUAUGUGUGUAAAUGGAACAACCAAAAUAAUCUUGUAGGCCUGUGCCCUGGAGGAAAUAGCAAGAUUUAUUCACAUUGAGGUCAUUGUAGGAUAGAACGAUGCUCAAAGCAAAGGCAAUAAUGUAACACUGUGUGUCUUGAAAGAAGUUCAAGUUAUGCAUGGAUAACCUAGUUUUCAAUGUUUGCAGAGGAGAGGGUGGUUGAGGGAUGGCUAGAAUUAGAGGGUAACAAAGAGAAAAUGAUUCAGGCUUUUAAUCAAGGUUGCUACCUCCUCAAAUGUGUGUUUUAGAAAUGUCAUCCUGACUGUAGUAUUCAGAACAGCUCUGAGAGAUACAACAUUUGAGAGAAUGAGAUCAUUAUAAGAUCAUAAAACAUAAUCUGCGGAGUUCCCGUCAUGGCGCAAUGGAAAGGAAUCUGACUAGGAACUGUGAGGUUGCAGGUUUGAUCCCUGGCCUCACUCAGUGGUUUAAGGAUCUAGCAUUGCCCUGAGCUGUAGUGUAGGUCUCAGUUGCGGCUCGGAUUCCACAUGGCUGUGGCAGUGGCCCAGGCCGGCAGCCAUAGCUCUGAUUGGACCCCUAGCCUGGGACCCUCCAUAUGCUGUGAGUGCAGCCCUAAAAAAAGACAAAAAGACAACAAAAGCAAACAAAACAUAAUCUGAGUGGGAGGUGGUGAUUACUGGGACUAUGGUAGUGACAUUGACAUUAUGUCUAUAUGGACAUAUUGUGGGAAUUUGGGAGGUGGAUCCUAAAAAAACUGAGUAGUUAAGUAGAUAAAGGGGGAAUGUGAAGUAUGAAGGGGGAAAAGAAGACAAGAAUGAUGCCCAGAUCUCCUGCAUAGGCCAUUGGUAGGAUGAUGGGCUGCUUUCUGUAGCAAGGAAAUGGAAAUGGAAAGCAAUCACAGAGAAGAGAUAAGAAGCUCAGUUUUGAACAUGAAAAGUUUGAAGUUCUUUUAAUCCAUCCAGAUGGAGAUGUUCUUGACACAGUUGGAUGUACUAGUAUAGAACUCAGAUGAAAGAUCUGGGUUGGAGUUAUGCAGCUGACAAACCUGACCACAUAAGGUUAAUUGGAGUCAUAAUACCAAAAGCUAAUCCUCAGGAAGGGAAGGCAGCAUGAAAAAGAUCUGACAUAAUACCCAGUUGCACUAACAGAGAUGGCUCAAAGAAGAGAGUACAUAAAAUAUACUAGAUAAGAAGAACUAUGGCAGCUGCUGUUAUGUAACACAAGGAAUUGAAUUUCAAAAAUUACCAAAUUUGGAGAGAACAGCCAA